UGGUUCGGCGCCAUAUCGAGGU
Molecule: non-coding RNA, 22 nt
Filed under: Arabidopsis thaliana (thale cress)
Lineage: Eukaryota; Viridiplantae; Streptophyta; Magnoliopsida; Brassicales; Brassicaceae
Source: RNAcentral